Molecule: ribosomal RNA, 406 nt
Filed under: uncultured bacterium
Lineage: Bacteria
Description: partial 16S ribosomal RNA
Rfam family: Bacterial small subunit ribosomal RNA
Source: RNAcentral
AUUGAACGCUGGCGGCAGGCCUAACACAUGCAAGUCGAACGAGUGGCGGACGGGUGAGUAAUGUCUGGGAAACUGCGCGAUGGAGGGGGAUAACUACGGGAAACGGUAGCUAAUACCACAUAACCUCGGAUGCGCCCAGAUGGGAUUCGCUAGUAGGUGGGGUAACGGCUCACCUAGGCCACGAUCCCUCGCUGGUAGGGGAGGAUGACCGGCCACACUGGAACUGAGACACGGUCCAGACUCCUACGGGAGGCAGCAGUGGGGAAUAUUGCACAAUGGGCGCAAGCCUGAUGCAGCCAUGCCGCGUGUAUGAAGAAGGCCUUCGGGUUGUAAAGUACUUUCAGCGAGGAGGCGUUACUCGCAGAAGAAGCACCGGCUAACUCCGUGCCAGCAGCCGCGGUAAUUC